Molecule: ribosomal RNA, 325 nt
Filed under: uncultured Anaerolineaceae bacterium
Lineage: Bacteria; Bacillati; Chloroflexota; Anaerolineae; Anaerolineales; Anaerolineaceae
Description: bacterial SSU rRNA
Rfam family: Bacterial small subunit ribosomal RNA
Source: RNAcentral
AGCUCGUGUCGUGAGAUGUUGGGUUAAGUCCCGCAACGAGCGCAACCCUCGCCUUAGUUGCCAGCAUUAGUUGGGCACUCUAAGGGGACUGCCGGUGAUAAGCCGAGAGGAAGGUGGGGAUGACGUCAAGUCAGCAUGGCCUUUAUAUCCUGGGCUACACACACGCUACAAUGGGAAGGGACAAUAGGUUGCGAAGCCGCGAGGCGGAGCCAAUCCAGCAAAACUUCCCUCAGUUCAGAUUGCAGGCUGCAACUCGCCUGCAUGAAGUUGGAGUUGCUAGUAAACGCAGGUCAGCCAUACUGCGUUGAAUACGUUCCCGGGCCUU